Callithrix jacchus (white-tufted-ear marmoset) is the source of this 1220-nucleotide long non-coding RNA. RefSeq lists it as uncharacterized. NCBI's taxonomy places the organism in Eukaryota, Metazoa, Chordata, Mammalia, Primates, Cebidae. The record is from RefSeq and is a predicted model, not a curated record.
AGGCGGGGGAGGUGGUGCUACCCGAGGAUGCUGACCCCUUGCCACUGUCUGUGAACCAGGAAAAAGGCAGGAACGGGGAGCCCCCUGAUCUGCCGGAUCCCUCCACUGAUUCCCUGAAGAGAGAGUGUCCAGCAUGGGUGCCCAUCGGAGCCUUCACCAUCCUCCGCGGAGCUGGCACUGUCCCGAAGCCUGGAGCGGGACGGCCGGUGUCUCCGGCCCUUGGCCAACAGCUGGGCCCGGGCCUUGUGUAAACUGCUGUCCAGUCUGGCGGUCUCUGGCACAGCCAAGUCCAGCGCCACUUUUCAAGUGCUGCACCUCGGGAUGAAGCCGUCAUGCUGUACUAGUCCUGAGCUUGGCACUGGGGUCUCCAGACAGAAAGGGUCUUCCCAGGCUUCGAGAUGGGUCAAGACCUUUUUUCCCACUCCACCCGCCGUGCUCUGCGCCCUCCUCUGACAGCUCCCCCAGCUUCAUGCGCCGCCACCCGCAUGCAGAGCCGCACAGCGAAGCCUUGACCUCCUCCCCUGAAUUCUAAGCGUGGGCACUCAGGCACCAGGGAAGUUACCACGUCAAAGGCUCCAGGGCAUCUCAAGCUCAACUCACCAAAAUGAAUCUAUCAUGUGGCUUCAAACCAACUUCUCCACUCUUCCUUGACUCAGUGAAAAGCCCCCUUGUCCACCCAAGUUACCCAAGUCAGACAGCCCUAAGCCUUCUCUCUCAGCCCCAGACCCAGUUGGUAAUUCAUGUGUCCAACUGUCUAAUGACACUUCCACUUUGAAUGUCCACCAGGGGUCUUCAACCUGCAUGUGCUGCAACCUCCUCAUCUCUCCCACCCCAGAGCUCUUCCUCCCAGUCCUGGUGAACAGCAGCUCCAUCCUUCUAGUUGCUUGGCUGAACCCCUGGAGUCGUUCUCGACUGCUUCCUCUACCAUCCUACAAACAGAUUCAUUCACAAUCCCAUUAGCUCUACUUUCAAAAGCUAGCUAGACAUACUGAAAUAUUUAUGGUGAAGGGAUAUGAUGUUUUGGACUAGGUUCCAUAUAAUCCAGGGCAAUAGGGGUAGGGCAUGGAUGGGGAGAGAUGAAACUAGACUGGCCGUGACUGGGUCACUGCUGAGGCUGCGUGAUGAGUUCUUGAGUGCAUGAUAGAGUACACUGCACUGUUCUAAUUUUGAAUCUGUUUGAGAUUUUCCACAAUAAAUUAUUGUUUGUGUGUUCGAAUGUA